Molecule: long non-coding RNA, 580 nt
Organism: Rhineura floridana
Lineage: Eukaryota; Metazoa; Chordata; Lepidosauria; Squamata; Rhineuridae
Exons: 4
Source: RefSeq, a predicted model, not a curated record
CCCAAUUCCCAGAGCAGUUUUGCUCUUUUUAUUAUAUUUUUUGGAAAGGUUGUUUCUUCUUUGUUUAUUAAUGCUGAAAGAAAGGGCAGGUCACAAUAUAAAACGUGUGACAUACAGGUAAAAAUGGAAAUGGACUGCCUUCAAGUCAAUCCCGACUUUAUGAAUAGAGUUUUCAUGACAAGCAAGAGGCAUUCUCAAAGCUCAAGGACACGUUCCAGCCAGGUGGAAAACACUCAAGGCCUGGCUCGUUGAAUUGCUCCAUUUCACACUUGGGGGCAGGGGGAAUCUCCACAUUUCUUUCAUAUCAGCUCUGAGCACAGACGGAGAAAGAGCAAAAUGGAGGAGGAAAAAGGAGUGAGGGAAGCCGUUCCUGGUGUCCUGAGCUGGGAGAGGCUGUUCAGCAAACGUUGGCACAAGCUAUUGAGCCCAAGGGCUGUGAAACAGCAAAGGUGGAGCCAUAUUCGUUCCAGAGCAAGAAUAAGAGAUGCCGAACAAAACGAGCACCCAUUUUGGAAGAAAAUGCAUGGGCAGGGUGGGGAAUCUUGUACAGUGGCAUGUAAUUUGCAUCUGUUGUGACUUG